Molecule: non-coding RNA, 129 nt
Organism: Xylaria intraflava
Lineage: Eukaryota; Fungi; Ascomycota; Sordariomycetes; Xylariales; Xylariaceae
Source: the annotation of a GenBank genome assembly
UCUCGAUUGGUCUAGUGGCUAGGAUACCUGCUUGUCAUUCAACUUGCCUAAGUGUUCAUGAUAAAAGUUUCACUUUGGGUAUCGUGGAGCGAGUCGCAGGUGGCCGGGGUUCGAUUCCCCGAUCGAGAG